This 217-nucleotide unclassified non-coding RNA is filed under the name Hevea brasiliensis (rubber tree). Lineage: Eukaryota; Viridiplantae; Streptophyta; Magnoliopsida; Malpighiales; Euphorbiaceae. The record is from RNAcentral.
AUGCCAACUCCAUAAACACAACCAGGCUCCAGGAGCCAGGUUUCCUGGAAUUUUAAGAAGUAAUGUUCAUUUGGUAGCCUAAUUCCCAGGAGCAUACUAAUGUAUGCAAGAAUGGAUAGUUAGUGUUAUGGUUUUCACAGUUCGUGCAUCUGUGUUCUGUGAAUAUGAAUACUUAAAAUUCAAGUGCCUAGUGCCAAGCCCGUAAGAAAUAUCUGUG